Molecule: ribosomal RNA, 451 nt
Filed under: uncultured bacterium
Lineage: Bacteria
Description: partial 16S ribosomal RNA
Rfam family: Bacterial small subunit ribosomal RNA
Source: RNAcentral
GUGGGGAAUCUUCCGCAAUGGGCGCAAGCCUGACGGAGCAACGCCGCGUGAAUGAAGAAGGCCUUCGGGUCGUAAAGUUCUGUCUUUAGAGAAGAAGUCUCUCUAUGUGAAUAAUGUAGAGAGGUGACGGUACCUAAGGAGGAAGCUCCGGCUAACUACGUGCCAGCAGCCGCGGUAAUACGUAGGGAGCAAGCGUUGUCCGGAAUUACUGGGCGUACAGGGCGCGUAGGCGGAUAAUUAAGUCAGGUGUGAAAACUCUGGGCUCAACCUGGAGAGUGCACUUGAAACUGGUUAUCUUGAGGGCAGGAGAGGAAAGUGGAAUUCCUAGUGUAGCGGUGAAAUGCGUAGAUAUUAGGAGGAACACCAGUGGCGAAGGCGACUUUCUGGACUGCACCUGACGCUGAGGCGCGAAAGCGUGGGGAGCGAACGGGAUUAGAAACCCCAGUAGUCC